UACAUAAGAUACCAGGUAUCACAGAGGAGGGACGGAUGAACCCUCUCUCGGAGGGUCAGUAAAGCUUCCCGGCCUAUAUGACAUCAAGGCUAGAAUAUUGAGAAGCUCCCAGUCACACCGGGAAGGGAAAGAGAGACAGUGUGCGGACAAUUGCAUUCAGGGAACAUUUAAAAUCCUUAAACGCUGCUGGAGUUGGAGAGGACUUAAGAAAUCUUCAGUUUGGGUUCCUCUUCAGUGUGCUCCUGACCUCCCCUCAAGUGAGGACUGGUAUCUUUGAUUUUUUUCUGCUUGAACCUGGGUUGAAACUACAUGACCUUUUGAGAACGUGCAGAAUCCUCCGCCCCAGAAUCGUCCCCUUCGGACCUCGCUGUGCUUGUUGUGUAUGUCAAAAAACGGGCAAGCAACGUGCACAUAAAAUGUCAAGAUCCAAGAAAACUGCAAGACCAACCUGCUUAACCAAGCAUUUCUGGAAGGGAAGAGUCCUUCUGACUAAUGCUUUCAGACGGUCUGCUCCCUGUCCAUUUAUCACCAGUUCCUGUUUGCCAAUCCCAAGCAUAUCAUUUAUAUGUGCCCAGAAUCCCUGGGUAAUGGGCAUGCUGUAAAAAUAAAUAGAAUAAAUAA
Long non-coding RNA from Neofelis nebulosa (Clouded leopard), 621 nucleotides. RefSeq lists it as uncharacterized. NCBI's taxonomy places the organism in Eukaryota, Metazoa, Chordata, Mammalia, Carnivora, Felidae. The transcript is spliced from 3 exons. The record is from RefSeq and is a predicted model, not a curated record.